UGGAUACCUAGGCAUCUAAAGACGAUGAAGGGCGUGCACAGCGACGAAAUGCCUCAACGAGCUGCAUGAUAGCGAUGACUUGAGGACCCCCAAAUAGGGCAACCUCGUAGAACUACUAAUACAAAUUCAUAAUAUUAGUAAGAGAAAACCCAGUGAACUGAAACAUCUUAGUAGCUGGUGGAAAAGAAAGCAAAAGCGAUUCCCUUAGUAGCGGUGAGCGGAACGGGAACAGCAAA
RNAcentral lists this ribosomal RNA (236 nucleotides) under Chloroparvula japonica. RNAcentral's name for it is "partial Bacterial large subunit ribosomal RNA". It matches the Rfam family "Bacterial large subunit ribosomal RNA", at positions 25 to 271 of the family's 2925-position model. The record is from RNAcentral. Lineage: Eukaryota; Viridiplantae; Chlorophyta; Chloropicophyceae; Chloropicales; Chloropicaceae.